AACUGAAACAUCUAAGUACCCCGAGGAAAAGAAAUCAACCGAGAUUCCCCCAGUAGCGGCGAGCGAACGGGGAGCAGCCCAGAGCCUGAAUCAGUGUGUGUGUUAGUGGAAGCGUCUGGAAAGGCGCGCGAUACAGGGUGACAGCCCCGUACACAAAAAUGCACAUGCUGUGAGCUCGAUGAGUAGGGCGGGACACGUGGUAUCCUGUCUGAAUAUGGGGGGACCAUCCUCCAAGGCUAAAUACUCCUGACUGACCGAUAGUGAACCAGUACCGUGAGGGAAAGGCGAAAAGAACCCCGGCGAGGGGAGUGAAAAAGAACCUGAAACCGUGUACGUACAAGCAGUGGGAGCACGCUUAGGCGUGUGACUGCGUACCUUUUGUAUAAUGGGUCAGCGACUUAUAUUCUGUAGCAAGGUUAACCGAAUAGGGGAGCCGAAGGGAAACCGAGUCUUAACUGGGCGUUAAGUUGCAGGGUAUAGACCCGAAACCCGGUGAUCUAGCCAUGGGCAGGUUGAAGGUUGGGUAACACUAACUGGAGGACCGAACCGACUAAUGUUGAAAAAUUAGCGGAUGACUUGUGGCUGGGGGUGAAAGGCCAAUCAAACCGGGAGAUAGCUGGUUCUCCCCGAAAGCUAUUUAGGUAGCGCCUCGUGAAUUCAUCUCCGGGGGUAGAGCACUGUUUCGGCAAGGGGGUCAUCCCGA
Molecule: ribosomal RNA, 703 nt
Filed under: Escherichia coli
Lineage: Bacteria; Pseudomonadati; Pseudomonadota; Gammaproteobacteria; Enterobacterales; Enterobacteriaceae
Description: partial 23S ribosomal RNA
Rfam family: Bacterial large subunit ribosomal RNA
Source: RNAcentral